ACAAGACCAGCAGCAGGUACAUCUCCCCGACCUCAUUACUGACCCCCUCACAUUGGUGCCUCAUUUGUCUAUGCAAUGCAAAUGUGACUCCCAGACUCGCGGCUGCCAGCCUGCCAUAUGCCCAGCAGCUAUGCAUGGCCUAAAGUCCAUACUACAGGCUACAAGCCCUGCUGAAUAAUGCAUGAGCACUUUGAUUUAAGGUAAAAAAAAAGUGUUGACAACAUUAAGAAAUUAUGUGAUAAACAAUAUAGGGAAGUUU
RNAcentral lists this long non-coding RNA (259 nucleotides) under Setaria italica (foxtail millet). RNAcentral's name for it is "long non-coding RNA (SITA_LNC002472)". Lineage: Eukaryota; Viridiplantae; Streptophyta; Magnoliopsida; Poales; Poaceae. The record is from RNAcentral.